RNAcentral lists this long non-coding RNA (1320 nucleotides) under Sus scrofa (pig). RNAcentral describes it as "lncRNA (ENSSSCG00050040596.1)". Lineage: Eukaryota; Metazoa; Chordata; Mammalia; Artiodactyla; Suidae. The record is from RNAcentral.
AUGGCGUCUGGGCGGGCCUUCCGGCGUCCACCAUGGGCGACAUUUUGUAAAUUGGGAUCUGUUCCCCGAGCUUUGGGACCGCUGACCCGCCUAAGAGAAGCGAAUCGGGAAGGCGCUUUGCGGCGAUGCCUAGGCCGCACCUUCGCGCACAGACUCCCCUGGCGGCGGACGCGCUGAUGGGCCCGCCUCUGGUUCCACGUUCAGCUGAACCAUUUAUGGACCCCGCUCCAGUAAGUAUCAGGUGUCUUGGAACUCUUUUAAUGCCGCUUUUCCUGGCCUUAUCUGGAGAUCCUGGAGAAACUCUAAGCUCAGGUUUCUAAGUCUAGGCCUGAGGUUAUGUGGAGAGAUUUCACAGAGAUACGAAAGGUUGUGUUAGUCACAAGGGUUAGUAUGUACAAAUGCUUGGGGAUGAGACUGAGAUGGGGGUGUCCCAUGACUUGGAGGUCUCUGCUACUAUCUGGUGAGAACACAUAGCAAGGGGGCCAGAGUCAGGCCUAGAUGGUAGCCUGAGAAGUGGGGUUUCUGUUUGAGAGUGAUGGCAGCCAUGGAAUUUUUGGAACCGAAGACAAAAGUGAUCUGACUUAGGACUUAAGAGGCUACCCCUGGCUGCCGAGUGCAGAAUAGACUGAGGGCAAGGAAGACAAGAAGCAGACCAUUCCAGAAGCAAUUGCAUGCAUCCAGGUGAGUGUUGGUUGUGGCAGGACCAGAGUGGUGGGUGUGGAGGUAGGAGAAACACUUGGCCUCUGGAUUUGUUUUGAAGUAGGGACUGACCAGCUGUUGUAAUGUGGAGGGGUCACAGAUGACUAAAGUUUUGUCUCCUUUGCACCUGGAAGGGUGGGUGUGCCAUCAGCUGAGAUGGGGAAGUCUGUGGUAUGAGUACGUUCUAGUGAGAAUAUUAGGAAUUGGGUUUUGGCUAUAUUGAGGUUCACAUGUCCCAGAGACUUCACAGUACAGGAGACCAGUGGAGAGCUGAACAUUCAGAUCUAGAGUGCUAGGGAGGACUUCAGGAUGCCAUUAGGGGAGAGAGGAAGGGAGAGGGCUGUGGACCUCCCAAAGACAGACAAGGAGGAGGAGUUACUAUGGAAAGGUAGAUUGUGAUGAAAAGUCCAGCAGGUGGCCUAGGUUUUCGUGGGGGAGUGGCCAUGACAUUGAGGCCGAAGUAAAGCAGAAACGGACGUGAACUGACAACAGUGUCAGGCUGGUGCUUACUUCUUCUCCUGUAGACUUAACAGCCUUUUGUGGUGGAACCUGGGGAGUGUCUGUCAGAAUGUCAAGUGACUUUACCCAAGAUGUGUCCCGUGGGUGUGGAUUUUGAGUGGC